GAUGAACGCUGGCGGCGUGCCUAAUACAUGCAAGUCGAGCGAACGGACGAGAAGCUUGCUUUUCUGAUGUUAGCGGCGGACGGGUGAGUAACACGUGGAUAACCUACCUAUAAGACUGGGAUAACUUCGGGAAACCGGAGCUAAUACCGGAUAAUAUUUUGAACCGCAUGGUUCAAAAGUGAAAGACGGUCUUGCUGUCACUUAUAGAUGGAUCCGCGCUGCAUUAGCUAGUUGGUAAGGUAACGGCUUACCAAGGCAACGAUGCAUAGCCGACCUGAGAGGGUGAUCGGCCACACUGGAACUGAGACACGGUCCAGACUCCGACGGGAGGCAGCAGUAGGGAAUCUUCCGCAAUGGGCGAAAGCCUGACGGAGCAACGCCGCGUGAGUGAUGAAGGUGUUCGGAUCGUAAAACUCUGUUAUUAGGGAAGAACAUAUGUGUAAGUAACUGUGCACAUCUUGACGGUACCUAAUCAGAAAGCCACGGCUAACUACGUG
Molecule: ribosomal RNA, 497 nt
Filed under: uncultured bacterium
Lineage: Bacteria
Description: partial 16S ribosomal RNA
Rfam family: Bacterial small subunit ribosomal RNA
Source: RNAcentral